RNAcentral lists this ribosomal RNA (274 nucleotides) under uncultured bacterium. RNAcentral describes it as "partial 16S ribosomal RNA". It matches the Rfam family "Bacterial small subunit ribosomal RNA", at positions 523 to 796 of the family's 1533-position model. The record is from RNAcentral.
CUACGUGAGCCCCAAGCAUUAUCCGGAAUUAUUGGGCGUAAAGGGUCCGUAGGCGGUUUAGUUAGUCUCUCGUUAAAGCACCAGGCUCAACCUGGGACAUGCGAGGGAAACGGCUAAACUAGAGAAAUUGAGAGGUGAGUGGAACUCAUGGUGUAGGGGUGAAAUCCGUUGAUAUCAUGGGGAACACCAAAAGCGAAGGCAACUCACUGGCAAUUUUCUGACGCUGAGGGACGAAACCCUGGGUAGCGAAUGGGAUUAGAAACCCCAGUAGUCC